AGAGUUUGAUCCUGGCUCAGAACGAACGCUGGGGGCGUGCCUAAUACAUGCAAGUCGAACGAGAAAGGGUCUUCGGACCUGAGUAAAGUGGCGAACGGGUGAGUAAGGCAGGAGUAAUCUACCCUUAAGUGGGGGACAAUACCUCGAAAGGGGUGCUAAUACCGCAUAAGACCACGGAUUCUUUGGAAUCUGAGGUAAAAGAUGACCUUUUAGGUUAUUGCUUAGGGAUGAGCUCAUGUACUAUUAGCUAGUUGGUAGGGUAAUGGCUUACCAAGGCGAAGAUGGUUAGCUGGUUUGAGAGGAUGGCCAGCCACACUGGAACUGAGAUACGGUCCAGACUCCUACGGGAGGCAGCAGUAAGGAAUCUUGCGCAAUGGGGGAAACCCUGACGCAGCAACGCCGCGUGAGUGAAGAAGGCCUUCGGGUCGUAAAGCUCUGUUAGGUGAGAAGAAGGGGAUAAUAUCCCUUGACGGUAUCACCAGAGGAAGCACCGGCUAACUCCGUGCCAGCAGCCGCGGUAAUACGGAGGGUGCAAGCGUUGUUCGGAAUUAUUGGGCGUAAAGCGCGUGCAGGCGGUUGCUUAAGUCUGAUGUGAAAGCCCUGGGCUUAACCCGGGAAGUGCAUUGGAAACUGGGCAACUUGAGUACGGGAGAGGAUAGUGGAAUUCCGAGUGUAGGGGUGAAAUCCGUAGAUAUUCGGAGGAACACCGGUGGCGAAGGCGGCUAUCUGGACCGAUACUGACGCUGAGACGCGAAAGCGUGGGGAGCAAACAGGAUUAGAUACCCUGGUAGUCC
Molecule: ribosomal RNA, 794 nt
Filed under: uncultured bacterium
Lineage: Bacteria
Description: bacterial SSU rRNA
Rfam family: Bacterial small subunit ribosomal RNA
Source: RNAcentral